RNAcentral lists this ribosomal RNA (428 nucleotides) under uncultured bacterium. RNAcentral describes it as "partial 16S ribosomal RNA". It matches the Rfam family "Bacterial small subunit ribosomal RNA", at positions 354 to 796 of the family's 1533-position model. The record is from RNAcentral.
GUGGGGAAUAUUGGGCAAUGGGCGCAAGCCUGACCCAGCAACGCCGCGUGAAGGAAGAAGGCUUUCGGGUUGUAAACUUCUUUUACCAGGGACGAAACAAAUGACGGUACCUGGUGAAUAAGCCACGACUAACUACGUGCCAGCAGCCGCGGUAAUACGUAGGUGGCGAGCGUUAUCCGGAUUUAUUGGGUGUAAAGGGCGUGUAGGCGGGACAGCAAGUCAGAUGUGAAAACCAGAGGCUCAACCUCUGGUCUGCAUUUGAAACUGUUGUUCUUGAGUGUCGGAGAGGUAAUCGGAAUUCCGUGUGUAGCGGUGAAAUGCGUAGAUAUACGGAGGAACACCAGUGGCGAAGGCGGAUUACUGGACGAUAACUGACGCUGAGGCGCGAAAGCGUGGGGAGCAAACAGGAUUAGAAACCCCAGUAGUCC